AGUGGGGAAUCUUGCGCAAUGCGCGAAAGCGUGACGCAGCAACGCCGCGUGGGGGAAGACGGCCUUCGGGUUGUAAACCCCUUUCAGGAGGGACGAAGGUUCGCCGGUGAAUAGCCGUGCGGAUUGACGGUACCUCCACAAGAAGCUCCGGCUAACUACGUGCCAGCAGCCGCGGUAAUACGUAGGGAGCAAGCGUUGUCCGGAAUCAUUGGGCGUAAAGCGCGCGUAGGUGGCCUCGUAAGUCCGCUGUGAAAGUCCAAGGCUCAACCUUGGAAAGCCGGUGGAUACUGUGAGGCUAGAGUACGGAAGAGGCGAGUGGAAUUCCUGGUGUAGCGGUGGAAUGCGCAGAUAUCAGGAGGAACACCAAUAGCGAAGGCAGCUCGCUGGGACGUUACUGACACUGAGGCGCGAAAGCGUGGGGAGCGAA
RNAcentral lists this ribosomal RNA (427 nucleotides) under uncultured Rubrobacteraceae bacterium. RNAcentral's name for it is "bacterial SSU rRNA". It matches the Rfam family "Bacterial small subunit ribosomal RNA", at positions 353 to 772 of the family's 1533-position model. Lineage: Bacteria; Bacillati; Actinomycetota; Rubrobacteria; Rubrobacterales; Rubrobacteraceae. The record is from RNAcentral.